CCUACGGGAGGCAGCAGUGGGGAAUAUUGCGCAAUGGGCGAAAGCCUGACGCAGCGACGCCGCGUGAGGGAUGAAGGUCUUCGGAUCGUAAACCUCUGUCAGCAGGGACGAACGGUCACUGUGCUAAUCAGCAGUGAAUUGACGGUACCUGCAAAGGAAGCACCGGCUAACUCCGUGCCAGCAGCCGCGGUAAUACGGAGGGUGCGAGCGUUAAUCGGAAUUACUGGGCGUAAAGCGCUCGUAGGCGGUAUGACAAGUCAAGGGUGAAAUCCCCGCGCUCAACGUGGGAACUGCAUUUGAGACUGGCAGACUGGAGUGUGUGAGAGGAUAGUGGAAUUCCAGGUGUAGGAGUGAAAUCCGUAGAUAUCUGGAGGAACAUCAGUGGUGAAGGCGACUAUCUGGCACAUAACUGACGCUGAGGAGCGAAAGCGUGGGUAGCAAACAGGAUUAGAUACCCGAGUAGUC
This 465-nucleotide ribosomal RNA is filed under the name uncultured bacterium. RNAcentral's name for it is "partial 16S ribosomal RNA". It matches the Rfam family "Bacterial small subunit ribosomal RNA", at positions 338 to 795 of the family's 1533-position model. The record is from RNAcentral.